RNAcentral lists this long non-coding RNA (1165 nucleotides) under Homo sapiens (human). RNAcentral's name for it is "HSALNT0038674". The record is from RNAcentral. Lineage: Eukaryota; Metazoa; Chordata; Mammalia; Primates; Hominidae.
AGCAAGCCCAGACACUGCAACAAGCUCACAGCUCCAUGAAGAUCCAGCCAGGGCCAGCCCCUUAGAGGUGAGAUAAUUAGGGCCCCAGUAGCAGUCUCUGAGAGGGCCAAGUGAGGGCUUUCUGGGGCUGGCUGACCCUCUUGACUCAAACGUGUUGCUGCUGCUUCUGGGUUAAUGGGCCUGGUGGGUGCUUUCUCACUGGUCACUGAGCAGGGCUGUCUGAUGUCUUCAGGGGCUAAGACUGGAGCAUUCUUUCUCCACCCCCUUUAGCUGUGAGCAUCUCAGGAGCUAGGGCUGAAAAUGGAAACAGGCCUGUGGGUCACUGUGGCCCAACCUCUCAGAACAGCAGGAGCCUGUGCACUCCACCUCGCCCCCGUUCUGCCCUACACUGUAGGGCACUAGUUCCUGCCUGAAAGGACUGGAAGAGCCUAUGGCUCCUAUGCGCCACUAGCUCUAGCUGAGUGCCCAGCAGAGGUAGAAAAUAUGAUUUUCCUUCUCUUUCUUUCAGAGCAAUCACUCACUAGACACAUGAGGAAGACUAAGGGGCUGGAGGUGGGGUAUGCAAAGAGAGGUACAGGGCCAGGCUUACUACAGUGUCUCCAAAAAGGCCAAAGAUAGUGCAUAAACAAAAUGGAGCUGGAAGACAGAGUAAUCAAUACUUGCAGAAGCAGGGUCCUGGGAGAAUGCUUGAUGGGAAAAGUGGCACAUGUAACAUACUGUCCACACCAGCCCUGCACAAACCCUUGGCUCUGUACAGACCAGCCUCUUUGCUGUGCCCCAGACACCAGUUGGGCAGCUCCACUGCACUAUCCACCCAGACCUCUCACAGGUUCAAGUCUCACUUGUCCUUGAAGGUCCUGCUCUGUCUCUUCAUCCUGGGAUAGACUUCAAGUGCCUUGUGUGGCCACAGUGACUUGCAUUUGGCAACCUCUUCCUGCCUGUACUCCUUGUCUAUACCACCUAAAUACAGAUGGCUGCUUAGGUGCUUUCUGUUUGUUAGUCUUGUUCCUCCAUCCAAGCUGCAAGCUCUUUAGCAAGAACAUCAUAUUCAUGCCUCCCACCCUACCCACCCCAGCACAGAAUUCUGCAUAUGGUAGGUGCACAUGCUAUAUGGAGGAUGAAUGAGCAGAUAAAUGAAUAAAUAAGGAAAGAAAGCAGAGAAGAA